ACUGAUUCUUAGUUUAUGUAAACAUCCUACACUCAGCUUUAUCACAUGAAAUGGCUGGGAGAUGGAAGUUUACUUCAACUGAUUUGG
Molecule: microRNA precursor, 87 nt
Filed under: Python bivittatus (Burmese python)
Lineage: Eukaryota; Metazoa; Chordata; Lepidosauria; Squamata; Pythonidae
Description: microRNA pbv-mir-30b precursor
Gene: pbv-mir-30b
Rfam family: mir-30 microRNA precursor family (bases 9-82)
About the family: This family consists of the mammalian microRNA (miRNA) precursor mir-30a. Animal miRNAs are transcribed as ~70nt precursors and subsequently processed by the Dicer enzyme to give a ~22nt product.
Source: miRBase by way of RNAcentral